UGGGGAAUUUUGGACAAUGGGCGAAAGCCUGAUCCAGCAAUGCCGCGUGUGUGAAGAAGGCCUUCGGGUUGUAAAGCACUUUUGUCCGGAAAGAAAUCCUUGGCUCUAAUAUAGUCGGGGGAUGACGGUACCGGAAGAAUAAGCACCGGCUAACUACGUGCCAGCAGCCGCGGUAAUACGUAGGGUGCAAGCGUUAAUCGGAAUUACUGGGCGUAAAGCGUGUGCAGGCGGUUUGCUAAGACCGAUGUGAAAUCCCCGGGCUCAACCUGGGAACUGCAUUGGUGACUGGCAGGCUAGAGUAUGGCAGAGGGGGGUAGAAUUCCACGUGUAGCAGUGAAAUGCGUAGAGAUGUGGAGGAAUACCGAUGGCGAAGGCAGCCCCCUGGGCCAAUACUGACGCUCAUGCACGAAAGCGUGGGGAGCAAAACAGGAUUAGAUACCCUGGUAGUCCACGCCCUAAAACGAUGUCAACUAGUUGUUGGGGAUUCAUUUCCUUAGUAACGUAGCUAACGCGUGAAGUUGACCGCCUGGGGAGUACGGUCGCAAGAUUAAAACUUAAAUGAAUUGACGGGGUCAUA
RNAcentral lists this ribosomal RNA (577 nucleotides) under uncultured bacterium. Its description in RNAcentral is "partial 16S ribosomal RNA". It matches the Rfam family "Bacterial small subunit ribosomal RNA", at positions 355 to 923 of the family's 1533-position model. The record is from RNAcentral.